GCGCAAGCGGUGGAGUAUGUGGUUUAAUUCGAUGCAACGUGAAGAACCUUACCUGGUCUUGACAUCCCGGAGACCCUUAGGAAACUAGGGGGUGCUUCCAUCUGGAAGAAUCUGGAGACAGGUGCUGCAUGGCUGUCGUCAGCUCGUGUCGUGAGAUGUUGGGUUAAGUCCCGCAACGAGCGCAACCCUUGCCUUUAGUUGCCAGCAGUUCGGCUGGGCACUCUAAAGGGACUGCCGGUGUUAAACCGGAGGAAGGUGGGGAUGACGUCAAGUCCUCAUGGCCUUUAUGACCAGGGCUACACACGUACUACAAUGGCCGAUACAAAGGGCAGCGACACUGCGAGGUGAAGCCAAUCCCGUAAAAUCGGUCUCAGUCCGGAUUGGAGUCUGCAACUCGACUCCAUGAAGUUGGAAUCGCUAGUAAUCGUGGAUCAGCAUGCCACGGUGAAUACGUUCCCGGGCCUU
This 465-nucleotide ribosomal RNA is filed under the name uncultured Desulfobulbus sp. RNAcentral describes it as "bacterial SSU rRNA". It matches the Rfam family "Bacterial small subunit ribosomal RNA", at positions 923 to 1382 of the family's 1533-position model. Lineage: Bacteria; Pseudomonadati; Thermodesulfobacteriota; Desulfobulbia; Desulfobulbales; Desulfobulbaceae. The record is from RNAcentral.